UACGGAAGGCAGCAGUGGGGAAUAUUGGACAAUGGGCGCAAGCCUGAUCCAGCCAUGCCGCGUGUGUGAAGAAGGCCUUCGGGUUGUAAAGCACUUUUGUCCGGAAAGAAAAGCUUAGGGUUAAUAACCUUGAGUCAUGACGGUACCGGAAGAAUAAGCACCGGCUAACUUCGUGCCAGCAGCCGCGGUAAUACGAAGGGUGCAAGCGUUACUCGGAAUUACUGGGCGUAAAGCGUGCGUAGGUGGUUUUGUUAAGUCUGAUGUGAAAGCCCUGGGCUCAACCUGGGAAUGGCAUUGGAAACUGGCUUACUAGAGUGCGGUAGAGGGGUGUGGAAUUCCCGGUGUAGCAGUGAAAUGCGUAGAUAUCGGGAGGAACAUCUGUGGCGAAGGCGACACCCUGGACCAGCACUGACACUGAGGCACGAAAGCGUGGGGAGCAAACAGGAUUAGAUACC
Molecule: ribosomal RNA, 455 nt
Filed under: uncultured bacterium
Lineage: Bacteria
Description: bacterial SSU rRNA
Rfam family: Bacterial small subunit ribosomal RNA
Source: RNAcentral